This is an RNA transcript of Schistocerca cancellata (South American locust), 3079 nucleotides long. RefSeq lists it as uncharacterized. The record is from RefSeq and is a predicted model, not a curated record. Lineage: Eukaryota; Metazoa; Arthropoda; Insecta; Orthoptera; Acrididae. The transcript has 4 exons.
GUGCCUUCAGUAGUUCAGCUCUGCUGGCUCUAGGCGCCUGUACUAGUGAGAUGUAUUGACGGUUUGCGCAAUAUAUUGAAGAAGACCACAGACCUCUACAAAUAUUACGCACGUUCAAUAUUUGGACCUUAGUACUACGCGAUACUCGUCAGUUCCUUCGGAGGUCGUAAUUUUCGGACUUGUAAACAACUGAAACGGAGACACUAUACGAAUAUGAAUAAAUCGGGAAAGACAGAUGAAAGAAUUCAUCUGCUGAAGUGCAUUCAGGUUUAUAGAUCACUUCCAGCAUUAUGGAAAGUGAAAUCUGAAGAAUAUAAGAACAAAAACAUUAAAAAUGAGUCCUACAAUAUCCUGCUGAAAGUUUAUCAAGAAAGGUAUCCAUCAGCUACGAAGGAGGAUUUAAAAAGGAAAUUUAAUUCGCUCCGAACAAAUUUUCGGAAGGAACUGAGAAAGGUAAAUGAUAGACAAUCAGUAAGUGGACUGGAAGAUACAUGCCAAAGCACCAUGUGGUACUUUGAAGAAAUGAAGUUUCUCAUUGAUCAGGAAUCGCCAGACACGUCGUUCUCUACAAUACCAGAUGAAAAUGGAGAAUACUGCAUCAUGACAGAUUCAGAAACUUCUGAAGCAGAGAUACUCACGAAGAAUCCUCCAACGAAGAAAAGGCAGCCAGCACUGGCUACAAAUGAUUUGCUAGAACUUGCAUGCAAGCGACUGCGGGAACGAGUGUCUGAUGAGGACCACAUCGGCAUAAUGUGGGCUCGUGAACUCCAGAAAAUGGACCCAAUGCAGCAAACCUUUGCAAAGAAGUUUAUCAAUGACAUUUUAUUUGAAGGACUAAUGGGCACACUGCACAGAAACUCUGUGGUUAUAAAUGGCCCAGCAACAUCUUCUGCAAAUAAGUCUCCAAUCACAAAUGUCUCAAGUGCUUCAGCUGCCUCAAGCAGUUCACACAUUCUACAAUAAGGCACCAUUCUACAUUUUGUAAAUGUGGCUGAGUUUUCCUAAUGCCAUUUGGUAUUUGUAUAUUAUUUGUUUACAAUUUUAUCAUUUUAAUGGUGUAAUUAUAAAGUAAUUGCAGUAAACUUCAAUGUAAUGUAUAUAACACACAAGUAAAAUCGUUAUUUGACUGUUCUCACAGAAACAACUUUUGUGCUUUUGUGGCAUAGUGUACUUCCCCACUGGGGUUCAGAACUUUGCUGUUGUGUGCACGUCACUUACUUUGACUUUUUUUCCAAACAGGUGUUAACAGCUUCCCAGGUUUCUAUUACAAUACGGCUGAUAGUAGUGCAUGUGUUGAAUGUUGGAAAUUUGCAGUCUUCAAAAGUGUUUCCAAUUGUCAGGUCAUGGAUGCAUAUCUAGGUGAGUCUCUCUCAGGGACCAAUACAGGAAGAUAAUCAACAAAAAGUGGACAGUUAUUAACCAAUAACGGCAGUGGAAGUGUGAAAACAUCGAGAGCUGACUAAGGCUGUGUUUCUGAAAAAGGGCGACAAUAACAAGUGCUCCCUCACUAACUACAGACAAGGAAAUAGUGUGUAGAAGGCAAUGAACAAUCAAAGGCAUCCUUGCCUGCCACCAUUAGCUUCAAAGUAGAAGACUUAACAACUCCAAGUGGCUCAGUCCGUAAGUGAAAGAGGGUCUCAAUAUCGAGCUCCUCUGGCUGAGUUAAAGAACUGUUGCAUUAGGGAACACAGUGCUCAGUUACAUUGUUUUUCAUGAGCUUGGUAAAUAUAGUGAGAACCCUUGCAUCAUAUGGAUGGGGAAUUAUCAGGAAUGAAGUAUAUAAAACAAGUCAGUAGGCUAGAAAAUGAAGAGGCAGAUCUUACAAAUUACAUAUCAGGAUCCAACCCUUAAUCAUCAUAAUGUAAUUUUUUUAAAACAAGAAGUGACCUCAAUAUGCGAGCUCUGAUUCAUAAACAUGUAAAACCUUUUUCUUUUUUACAUUUCUGAUGUAAUUGUUACAUGCCUGCAUAGGAUUUUCAGUAGCACUUAAAGGUGAUAUAUAUUAUUUUUCAGUGAAAAAAACUGCAAUUUGCCUGCAGUUUGAAGUGAAAAAUGUACUGGGUAGAAUCAGACUGUAGAGUUUAUUUGUACAUUGUCUGGCAUUUGUAAUGCUUAAUGGACUAACACCUUCUGACCCUGUGGCAGUGACAUAAUACUUUUUUGUGAAGUAUAUAUCAAGUAACGUAUUGCAGUUGUUUGUUUAAGUGUGUUACAUAAUCUUGAACUUGCAAAUGUUUGGGAAAACUAGACAGUUAUGAAAUAUAGCAUCACCUAUACUCCAUUGUUUUGAUGUACACUUGGGUGGAUUACUGUACAUAAAAUUGCUUACUGCUGACAGUUUUCAGAUCAUUGAUAAUAACAACUUUUAUUUGUGGACUGAAGAUAGUGUGAGACAUACCUGUGUUACUUUAUAUACCUCCAGUACCACAUAAUGCAUUAUCAGUUUCAGUUUAUUGUGAAAGAGAGAAUGAAAGAUGAAGUAACUAAUAUUUUUAAACACAAACAUUUUGAGCUCAUUUUGACAGGAUUUUGAAUCAAGAAACCACCAUCAUUCUAUGUGCAUAAUAUAACAACCAUGUUCAUUGGUAGAAGGUAAUAACAGUGUGCUAAUCUCACUCACUUGCCCUUUGUGUUGUGUAUGAAACAUUUGCUGCAAGCAUCUGAGAUCAAUAUUUAUGUGGUUUCACUUGUUUUUCUCAGUACAGGUAAGGCAUGUGAAUAUUUAACAGCCAAAUACAAACUUUGAUGAAAGCUUGAAGGGAACUGACUAUGUCUACUACACAGUUGCAGUCUUUUUCAGUUGCUCUUUGCAUUUUGUCUGGAACAGGUGUUGCAAGCAAGAGAUAUCAAUAUGUGUGUGGUUUCACUAGUUAUUCCCAGUACAGGUUAAACACUUGAACAAUCAAAAGCUAAAUAUAAGGUAUAAAGGAAACCUACAAUCUUGAAGGGAAAGAAAUUGAGUAAGAUAUGACUAUUACUCAAAAAUUUGUACAGAAAUGGCAUCAAAACUUACCUUAAAGAAACUUCAUUUUUAUUCAUGGUUUGAUGGUAGCUCAUAAAACUGUUUCCCAUUUUGCAA